Molecule: long non-coding RNA, 733 nt
Organism: Helicoverpa zea (corn earworm)
Lineage: Eukaryota; Metazoa; Arthropoda; Insecta; Lepidoptera; Noctuidae
Exons: 3
Source: RefSeq, a predicted model, not a curated record
AAGUUCCAUUAAAAUACAUAUGUUAUUGAACUAACGUUUUUUUUUUCGAAAUAACGUUCACUUCUGUUUUCUUUGCGCGUGAGUGAAUCAUCGUCAAAACCAGUGUUAUUUUGUUUAUGUCCACUAAUAAAUGAUUUCCGUCCGUUGCUUAUAUUUAUAGAGGUUUAUCUUAAACCUAAGAUUCUUGAUAAAAGGGCAUUAUCGAACAAUUCAAAUUAAGAUGAAUAAGUGGAAAUUCAUAGAAGAGAAAUGAUAGGUUUUCAUUAGAUUGAGAAUUGUUUUGAAUAUCAUAUGGCCGGAAUGUUUAGAAUAAAUGCUCCUACUCCCGCGCCAUCCAGCCACAAACCUCUCGGAACUUGAUCAUUGUGACAUGCACUCGCGUCAGAUUCUGGCUACAUUAAAAACGUACCGUGUUUGAAACCUCAGAACUUUUUUAUUGUCAGCUAUUUAACCAAAACUACUAAGGAUUAUCAUAAUACAGGCAUACCAGGGAGCUCUAACUACAAACAUUUAAGUAGAGAAUACCUGUUCAAUAUGAUUUUUAUCUAAUUAGUUAGUCAAUAAAACCUUCUCUAAAUCAUGAAUAUUCCUUUAUUUUAUCAUCGUAUCAGCCCAUAAUACUCACUUUUGGAUUAAGGCCUUCUCAAUGGUUUUCUGUAAAUAAUAGUAAGUCCUACCUACUCUACAGCAGAAAAAACCGCACUAAUAGUUUCGCCCGGCUAAAAAUGCAAAA